UUCUUCCCUUACACCUUCUCUCUGCAACUUCUUCGUCUCCUUCUCUCUCUCUACAUUCAUCAAUUCUCUUCUCUCUAUCUUCAUUCACGUUUACCCCCCACCAAAACUUCACCCAACACACAUAACCACACGCACUCGCCGUAUCACGCACUCAAUUUGAUUCCACAUCGUCGGAAUUCACCAAACGAUGUGACGUCGCCGCCGAUUUCCAAACACGAUUUGCAUCUGCUGAUAACAAUUCAAUACUUUUUUCGUUGAAAUCGGCGCUCAAAUUCGAUUGUUGCUUGCUGCUAUGGCCUCCACUGCUCCUGCCAAAUCUCAGCCGCUGCACAAUUUUACGCUGCCGCAUCUAAAAUGGAACAAGCACAGAAACUCCAACGGCCAACACCAGCGCCGCCGCUCCGUCAAAUCGCCGUCGCGCCGGCCGAAUAUCUCCUCCCCAUCUCCCAUCCGCCAGUCGCCGCUGCGAGAUUCCGUGUCGGCGACUCCGCCUCGGCACCAGUCCCCUUUCCGAGACUCCGCCGCGGCGGCGGCUUCGUCUCCUCGUCGGUCUCCUGUCCACGGGGAUUACUUGGGGAAACGGUCUCCUUCUCCUGGAGAAUCAUCUAAGCCGAGGGGGAAACACUCGCCUACCGGCGCUGAUCCGGCGAGGCAUUUGCCGAGGCAUGAAUCGCCGCCACAGCCUGAAGCUUCCGGCAAGGGAAAAGGCGGCUGUGUUGAGCAUCGGAGACAUCACUCAAAUAAUUCAACAAAUUCAGAGCACUCCUCUCACAAAUCGGAGCUUAAAUCAAAGGCGAAAGAAGUCGAUGCGGCUGGAAUCAAGAGAUCGAAAAUCUUAAUCAAAAUUCCUUGCAAAACCAGCAAAACAGAGGACGAAAAUCCGCAAGAAGAGCCGCUGAAGGCGGAGAAAAACGACGAGCACGAUUGCAGCGGCGAAGCGCAAGAUGAGGAGAAGAUUAGUAACAACAUCACCGAUGAAGAAACGAAGACGUGGAAUUUAAGGCCUCGGAAGCCUCUACACAAGAGCGGAGGUCCGGUGAAGAGUAACGUUCCGGCGAUGCCGGAGAGGAGUAAAGCCCAGUCGCCGUUGAGGAGCCUGAACAAUAGAUCGGGGGAAAACGAGGGCGGUAAUGGUGGGAAGAAGGAGAAGAGGAAGCUUAGCGUCUUUAUCCCUCUAACGAAGGAUGAAAUUGAAGAGGAUAUUUUUGCGCUGACAGGAUCAAAGCCGGCGAGGAGGCCCAAGAAGAGAGCGAAGAACAUACAGAAACAAGUAGAUGUUUGUUUUCCUGGAUUGUGGCUGGUAUCGAUAACUGCAGAUUCAUACAAGGUCUCUGAGAGUUCUAUGAAGGUACAGCCUUGAUUGCACAUCUAUGCCGUUGUUUGUUGGAUGCUGAAAUCUGAAUCUGAUAUGGGUGUUCCACACAGGGCUAGAGGCAGUUUCUGGAAGUUUAAGCUGCUUUGCUUCCAACUUUUUUUUUUGGAUGGUAUUUGAAGUUUUUGACUCAUGAAUCUUGACAGUUUUACACUACAUCUCAAAUAUUUACAUACUUCUAUCAUUGAGAAUUUCUAGCCUGGUCGCAUUUGAUUUGAAGGACACUUUGUGAUGGCACUUGAUGAUGCUUCAAGUAGAAGCUGUGAUGAAGAAAGAGUGGUGAAGGUGGUAUGUGUCCAGGGUUGGUGAAGUAGACACAAAGUUGGAUCUUUGCCACUUGUUUUGUUCUAUCCUUUUGUGUGUAUGUAUGGCUUGAAUUUGAAUUUGGUGAGAUUGGAAAAAAGAGAGAGCUUCAUAUCUGUUGCUGGGGAGAAUGAGUUGAUGCUCUGCAUUUGGUGAGUGCAUUGGUUGGAUUAUGGUAAUAUAAAAGUGUGGAGAAUGUGUAAAUUGAAGAUGAAAGAAAGGCUAAUACUACUAUAAUAUUGUAUUCAAGGUAGGAAAUGGGUAAACUAUGGCAACUAAGUAUUGGUUGGCUUGACUUUUUUUUUCUAUUGAAUUGAAUUGAAUUGGUCUCA
This is an RNA transcript of Salvia hispanica, 2007 nucleotides long. RefSeq lists it as uncharacterized. The record is from RefSeq and is a predicted model, not a curated record. Lineage: Eukaryota; Viridiplantae; Streptophyta; Magnoliopsida; Lamiales; Lamiaceae.